UAUAUAAUCAUUCCUUGUAUAUAUAUUAGACUCGAGCUGUGCGCCGCCGCGCCUUCUCGAUCCGCGUCCCUUUCAUAAUGUGCGAUCAAGCUGACGAGUUUUAUUUUAAAAUCGAAUAAAUUCAAAUGAGACGAAGAAUCUGCAGUGGCAGUUGAAAAUCGUUUUUGUUUUUUUUUUUUUUUUAUUACAGCUCGCGAAAGAACCUCGGAGAGGAAUUUGAAUUGGCGUUUUGAAAAAAGCAGACAAAACAAGCGAUAUACGAUCGUGUUAAUAGAGAGAUUCGCGUCUGUGGGAGUUAACUUUUGAUAAAUUUCAUCCGCCAAUUAGAGCUUUCGUAUUAAUUGUGCUAACUCCGAUUCCAUUUGCAUUUCCCUCGGCCUUGAAAACGUCAGCUGUUCGCGUCGAGACAGUCGAAUGCAUCGGAACAGCUGUGACACUCGCAGCUUCGCAAAAAAUCUCAGCGGUACGAGGCGCUCCGACACACGAUCGUUGAUGAAUGAAAAUUUUUCGAAAAAUCUAAUAAAGUUAUGAAAUUGUGCGGAAUUUUGUCAUCAGAGAUUCGUUGGAGCAUCAAAGUUCGUUAGAUUUUGUGCAUUUUAUUGUACAUUUUAUAGAUUGUGGAAGGGCGGGCUUUUUGGCGGGAUGUUAAUGUCGAAACUGCUUGGUAAGAAAGGCUCAAAUGAUUUGAGAUUUGAUACGAAAAUGGGGGAGAAAGACUUUUUGAUGAUUAGGCUCGUCGAGCGUCCAGCAGCUGUCGCAGAUUCCGGGAGAAAUGACCGCCGCGUGCUACUCCUUCCGUUAUUCCUGCCUGUGCAUUAAGCGAUACCGAGACCCGAGUCUAUAUCCGUGAAACAUUUCAUCGUUUAGCUUCGCAUCAGCGAAAUGUUUCGUGUGACCGAAAAGGUGCGAGAUCGCAGUUGAAAAAAGUGGGAAAAAAAUUGAACGUAAUUGUACAGCUGCGAUAUUUCGUGGAGCGUUCGAUUCGCGUUAUUGCCGGGAGAAAAGUUUCUAGAAAAAUCAUUCGAUUUGAGGAGGCUUUGACUUUUGACAACGGAGGAGAAAAACUUUGACACAUUUUUCAAAAAAUAUGCACCGCCGCGCGUGUGUUUCCGACGAAACACAAACGCCUUCGUUUUUCUUCGGAUCUCGUUCUGCGGCCAGAGACCCGAUUCAUCGACCCCCCAGGCCGUAAGACUCGAUCCACAUUACACAGAAACUCAGAGCCAUGCGCGCACGUGAACACAAACGUUCUGUGGUCUCGAGCCUUUCAACACACGUCUGAGCAUGGAGGAAUGCGAUUGGCAGAAAAAGACUGUCUAUGAGUUCGAACGAGCACAAAUUCAAGGAAAUCGCGAUUGACCGAAUUAUUAAUGGCCUAAACUUUCGAUCUCGAACGAAAGAGUCUUUGUUUGCGGCGUCGUUCGAAGCGCCGAAUAUAUCAAGUAACGCGUCCGAUGUACCAAUAAGAUUGAGAGGAAACGAGGUUGCCAUAAUGGUCACCACAUUUCGUUGUGUCUGCGCUCGGGAUCCUGUAUUUCCGGUAUCCGGUCACGGUCGUCGAGCGUCAAUAACAUCGCCAUUUUUAAAUCGAUCGGCGUCAACGAACCGUGAAUCAUCGAAAAACGAGACUGGACGAAAAAACGAGCGAAAAAAGCAACGAACGGAGGCGCAAGGGUCACAACACACGAAUGUGAAAAGCAUGAAAAGGUUCGCUUUCACAUCCCGUCCGUCUCAUGUAUCGCGCCAGCCGGAUGGACGAACUCCGAGUUCAUCGUGCGACGCGAGACGAAUGGAAAAAAUAAACAUUAAUUCCGCGCACGUGAACUUGAGAUCCAACAUUCGUAUUUUCACAUGCGUGGAUCCGAUCGAGAGAGACGCGAUCGCUGCUGAUCCAAAUGCGUACGUUUUGUAGCAAGACCCAAAAAAAAACUGCGGCCUCGAAGAGGUUACUGAUCGAAAAGCAUGUUCGAUCGCAAUUCGUCGCAUUAGAAUAACGAAAAAAUGUGUUAUGUGACGACGAGGAAGCGAGAGACCAGAAAAAGGUACCAACUUUCGAUGGAAUUCCGUAAUCAAACAAAAGUAAAAAUCAUUUCUCACGUUUCUUUCUUUCUUUCAUACGCGAGAAGCGAAGAAUCUCAAGACGAGUUAUUCCAAUCGGCGCCAACUUGAGGCGUCUAGACUCAACGGAUGCGCUAUUCUCGUACGAAAGGAUUUAAAACCAUAACAAGCGUGUCCCCCUUUGAAUUAAUAUUUUUAAACAUAUAUUCUUGUCUCGGAGUUGAUUUUUCGGGAAGAAUUUAGGGCUUUGAACGAGCGGAGAGACCGGAAGCGUAAAUAACGAAGAGGCUCGACGCACGUGCUCGAUUUUAAGAGACAAAGCGAAAACUCACUUCGCCGAAUGGUUUAUUUCGUUUUGAGGAGUUUCUGCAGAUUCGAACGAUUUUCAAUCGUAUUUAUCGAAGGACGAAGAAUGUGAAGUUUCGACAGGAAGACCAACUUUUCGAACUCUUUUAUAUCGAAAAUUCAAUUAUUUUAUGACUUUUUUCCCAAAAAGCUCAUCAAGCGACGCCGGAAUGAGCGCACCUGCAUCAUCCUCGUGGCGCCAUCAUCCGAACGGGGCCUCAAGCAUAGUUCUUAGCGAGUUUUAAUGCUACUUUACCGGUUGGUUUAAUGAAUUUUCAUUCUCAUGAGUGCUCAGGCUUACUCCCUAUCAAAAUAAUCGUUCUGCAAAAAAAUGAAGCGGUUCACAACGCAACUUGUUUCGCAAUUUAGUCUCGUAUUAAAAAAGAAUCUUUCGAACUAUGCUCGAUUCGAUUUUUUGGCUCUCAUUUUCCAGUGUAAUUAAAAAAAAUUGAAUUCAAAUUGUUUGAAUCGAGUAAAAUGCUAUGGAGAAACAGUAGUUUUAAGAAAACUGAAUUUUCACAAUCGAAAUUGUACGAAGGAUUAAAAUAUUGGAACAGUGAGAAAAGCUUCACUGACAGUUGCUGCUUAAUUCUUGAAUCUUCAGUCAUUUUUUCCACUGCAUAUAUUUUGUAUUUUUUAAAUACUUGUGAAUAAACAAAAG
Molecule: long non-coding RNA, 3064 nt
Filed under: Venturia canescens
Lineage: Eukaryota; Metazoa; Arthropoda; Insecta; Hymenoptera; Ichneumonidae
Description: uncharacterized LOC122417553
Source: RNAcentral